This 22-nucleotide non-coding RNA is filed under the name Arabidopsis thaliana (thale cress). The record is from RNAcentral. Lineage: Eukaryota; Viridiplantae; Streptophyta; Magnoliopsida; Brassicales; Brassicaceae.
GUCAAGUUUUGUCCCAAUGGGU